GACAGUGAGCAUUCAAACAUAACUUUCAUAUCUUCAAAUUUUUGCUGAGUUUGACCUUAAUCGUGUGUUCUUUCCAAGAACACAGGAGUAAUAUCAAAAUGAACCUAAAUCCUCCAAGAAAUCUCGACUUUAAAGCUUUUGGGAUUUUAGGUUUUAAAAUUUCAAUUCCAUGUUCGAAGAGCUUGGGGAAUAUUUGAAAGAAAAGCUUUGUGGAUUCUACAUGAGGGAGGCGUGGGGGUUUCAGGGUGAUAAUUUGGGUGAUUGAGAUAGGCGUCGCCUGCGGAGACGGUGCUAAUUUCUGGUAGAUCUAGCAUUUUCAAAUCUCUGAUUUGAGAGAGACGAAGAGGUG
Molecule: long non-coding RNA, 349 nt
Filed under: Nicotiana benthamiana
Lineage: Eukaryota; Viridiplantae; Streptophyta; Magnoliopsida; Solanales; Solanaceae
Description: long non-coding RNA (NBEN_LNC039751)
Source: RNAcentral